RNAcentral lists this long non-coding RNA (767 nucleotides) under Homo sapiens (human). RNAcentral describes it as "HSALNT0185733". Lineage: Eukaryota; Metazoa; Chordata; Mammalia; Primates; Hominidae. The record is from RNAcentral.
CUGAGUCCUAAACCUGAAGAAAGUUUAGAGCCUGGGGCUCUAAACUACCUGAGUCUUUCCAAACGACAAGCCAAGAAGACCUGUUGAAAGUUUCCUCUUAAGUUUCGUGGAGAGAGACUCAGGUAUAGAAAUAUCCUUACUGCCACCUGACCUGAAGCAGAAGAAAUCACAGACAGCUUCCAGACCAGGGACACCACUGCCCAAGCUGGAGACCACGAGGAUUCAGGGACUGAAGCCAGCAUGGGAAUUCCUGGUUUGAGAUCAGAGUCCUGAGUACCUCGUGGGAACUUGGGCACUCAUCCGCAGGAGGUCUAGACCCCCAGAGAAUUCCUUGAGUCUAAGGCACAGCUGCCACCCACCGGGAGGGAAGUGAAAUCUCACCUCAACAAGUGAGUCCGCAGAGCGAGAACCGUGCGACAGUGCGUCUGCCAAUACCUGGAAUGUAGGUGUUCGUUGCAGUGUGGCCUUCCCAGCCGGCCUCUCAGCACACCCGGCCAGGCAGCCAGUGUUCCCAGAGGACACGCUGGGGCCAGACGUGGAGGACCCCGGCCACCUCGGGGAGGGAAAGAGACCAAGAAAAGAACCUCUGUAGCCUUGCUUCUGAGAGUGCAGGUUUGUUACAGAGACGGAGCCAAGGCUGGUCUUGAACUCCUGGGCUUAAGCGAUCCUGCUCCCUGGGCCUCCCAAAGUGCUGGGAUUACAGGCGUGAGCCACUGGGUCCGGCAUCUACAUUUGUUAAAUACAUUAAAACCCUCUUAAUCCUUUGU